Molecule: ribosomal RNA, 755 nt
Filed under: uncultured bacterium
Lineage: Bacteria
Description: bacterial SSU rRNA
Rfam family: Bacterial small subunit ribosomal RNA
Source: RNAcentral
AGAGUUUGAUCCUGGCUCAGGAUCAACGCUGGCGGCGUGCCUAAUGCAUGCAAGUCGCACGGACCGUCUUCGGACGGCCAGUGGCGAACGGCUGAGGAACACGUGCGUAUCUGCCUUCUCGUGGGGAAUAACGGGUGGAAACACCCGCUAAUACCGCGUACGCUUGACUUUGGUCAAGGAAAGCCCUUCGGGGUGCGGGGAGAGGAGCGCGCGGCCCAUCAGGUAGAUGGCGGGGUAAUGGCCCACCAUGCCGGUGACGGGUCGCUGGUCUGUGAGGAUGACCAGCCAGACUGGGACUGCGACACGGCCCAGACACCUACGGGUGGCAGCAGCAAGGAAUCUUCGGCAAUGGGCGCAAGCCUGACCGAGCAACGCCGCGUGGAGGACGACGGCCUUCGGGUUGUAAACUCCUUUUUGGGGGGAUGAUACGGACAGUACCCCCAGAAUAAGCCCCGGCUAACUCUGUGCCAGCAGCCGCGGUAAUACAGAGGGGGCAAGCGUUGUCCGGACUUACUGGGCGUACAGCGCGCGCAGGUGGUCGGCUAAGUUCGUGGUGACAGCGUGCGGCUCAACCGCACAGGGUCCAUGGAGACUGGUCGACUAGAGGCAUCGAGAGGGAUACGGAAUACCCGGUGGAGCGGUGAAAUGCGUAGAGAUCGGGUGGAACACCGCGGCGAAGGCGGUAUCCUGGCGAUGACCUGACACUGAGGCGCGACAGCGUGGGGAGCAAACGGGAUUAGAUACCCUAGUAGUCC